GGUGAGUAACGCGUGAGAAUCUGGCUCCAGGUCGGGGAUAACAGUUGGAAACGACUGCUAAUACCGGAUGUGCCGAGAGGUGAAAGAUUUAUUGCCUGGAGAUGAGCUCGCGUCUGAUUAGCUAGUUGGUGGUGUAAGGGACCACCAAGGCAUCGAUCAGUAGCUGGUCUGAGAGGAUGAUCAGCCACACUGGGACUGAGACACGGCCCAGACUCCUACGGGAGGCAGCAGUGGGGAAUUUUCCGCAAUGGGCGAAAGCCUGACGGAGCAAUACCGCGUGAGGGAGGAAGGCUCUUGGGUCGUAAACCUCUUUUCUCAAGGAAGAAGAAAGUGACGGUACUUGAGGAAUAAGCAUCGGCUAACUCCGUGCCAGCAGCCGCGGUAAUACGGAGGAUGCAAGCGUUAUCCGGAAUGAUUGGGCGUAAAGGGUCUGCAGGUGGAACUGAAAGUCUGCUGUUAAAGAGUUUGGCUUAACCAAAUAAAAGCGGUGGAAACUACAGAACUAGAGUGCGGUAGGGGCAAAAGGAAUUCCUGGUGUAGCGGUGAAAUGCGUAGAUAUCAGGAAGAACACCGGUGGCGAAAGCGUUUUGCUAGACCGUAACUGACACUGAGGGACGAAAGCUAGGGGAGCGAAUGGGAUUAGAUACCCCAGUAGUCCUAGCCGUAAACGAUGGAUACUAGGCGUGGCUUGUAUCGACCCGAGCCGUGCCGGAGCUAACGCGUUAAGUAUCCCGCCUGGGGAGUACGCACGCAAGUGUGAAACUCAAAGGAAUUGACGGGGGCCCGCACAAGCGGUGGAGUAUGUGGUUUAAUUCGAUGCAACGCGAAGAACCUUACCAAGACUUGACAUCCUGCGAAUCCUGGUGAAAGCUGGGAGUGCCUUAGGGAGCGCAGAGACAGGUGGUGCAUGGCUGUCGUCAGCUCGUGUCGUGAGAUGUUGGGUUAAGUCCCGCAACGAGCGCAACCCUCGUUUUUAGUUGCCAGCAUUAAGUUGGGCACUCUAGAGAGACUGCCGGUGACAAACCGGAGGAAGGUGAGGAUGACGUCAAGUCAGCAUGCCCCUUACGUCUUGGGCUACACACGUACUACAAUGCUACGGACAGAGGGCAGCAAGCCAGGGAUGGCAAGCGAAUCCAGAAACCGUAGCUCAGUUCAGAUCGAAGGCUGCAACUCGCCUUCGUGAAGGAGGAAUCGCUAGUAAUUGCAGGUCAGCAUACUGCAGUGAAUUCGUUCCCGGGCCUUGUACACACCGCCCGUCACACCAUGGAAGUUGGUCACGCCCGAAGUCAUUACCCCAACCGAAAGGAGGGGGAUGCCUAAGGUAGGACUGGUGACUGGGGUGAAGUCGUAACAAGGU
This 1357-nucleotide ribosomal RNA is filed under the name Cylindrospermopsis raciborskii. RNAcentral describes it as "bacterial SSU rRNA". It matches the Rfam family "Bacterial small subunit ribosomal RNA". The record is from RNAcentral. Lineage: Bacteria; Bacillati; Cyanobacteriota; Cyanophyceae; Nostocales; Aphanizomenonaceae.